Molecule: long non-coding RNA, 171 nt
Organism: Etheostoma spectabile (orangethroat darter)
Lineage: Eukaryota; Metazoa; Chordata; Actinopteri; Perciformes; Percidae
Exons: 3
Source: RefSeq, a predicted model, not a curated record
UACAAUAUUUUUCUCUGAAAUGUAGCAGAGUAGAAGGAGAAAGUGGCAUGAAAAGAAAAGACUCAAGUACAGUACAAGAACCUCAAAUUUGGACUGAAGUACAGAACUUGAGUAAAUGUACUUAGUUCCAUUCCACCACUGGGCACAAUAUUCUCUCGGCAAAAAAGUGGA